UUAGUUCACUUCAAAGCUGCACUAAUGUCUGAUGUAGUUAAGUGGUAAAAUUAGAGAAUUCAGCCUUACAGUAGUGCUGUUCAUUGGGGAUCUACUAAGUAGAUGUCAUUAGUUCCAUUUAAGUUGUAUAAUUGCAGAUGAAAAGAGAGGUAAGAGCAUCUUAGUGCAUUGAGUAACUGUGUUUUUCUUUACAAAGCUCUCAUAACUACUAGUAAAUCCUACUGGUAGGAUACAUCCUGAAGCUUUUCUACAGAAAUGAUCUGGGAAGACUACUUCGCAUAUGGGAGGAAUGCACUGUUGUGGACUGCGAACUGCCAGGAACCAGCUGGAUAUUUCACUAGUGAUUUUUUUCAUUUUCGCGUUGCCAAAUUUGUGUUGUUUUUACUAAUUUAAAAAGAAGUCAUCCAAGCAGUGUGCUGUCAACUCAGUAGGGACGGUAAAGCAAAGACAAGGAGAGAGCAGGUAAAAGCCAGACACUGCUCAAGGGGAGAUCAGGCCUCAACCCAUGGGGGAGGUGGUUCUUCAAAUUAUGCAGUGUGUAAGGUAGGUAGAACCUUGCUUUAGAGUGAGUGAAAAAAUGGGAAGUAUUAAUUUUGGGGAUUUUCUGGCGAAAGUCGUCUCUUUUCCUGUUAAGAUAAUGCGUAAAAUGUGUGCGUGCUUUUGUGUGCGUGUUUUGGUUUAUUUUGGGGGGCUUAAUUUCCGCUAGUCCAAGUAUCUAGGAUUAGGGAAUUCUGUCUGCAUUAGCAAGCCUAGCUCAACAUUUAAUGCCCAGCAUGUAUUCCAGUGUUGCCAGCAGGCUAGAGUUAAUGUUCUGCUUCCGCCUGGGAGCAGUGGUUUCAAAGCAGGGUGUCUGAGCAGGAUGAACUGUGUGCCUGGAGCUGCUGCUCCUGUUUGGUUUCUCAGGUAGAACAACUUUUUGUCCUGCAGACAGGUGAGAUGAGACAGCUUCAGUGCUACCCUUUCCAGGGCUGCUUAAUGUGGUACAAGUGAGAAGUGUAACCAAACUCAGCAUCCUGCUCCUGUAAGAAGACAAGGAUGGUUUCUGGGUUCUUUCCUCUACUUGGAACUCUUCCUUAACCCUUUAAAGCUUCAAAAUGAGAACGAGGCAGGACAUAUUGGUCCAUAGUUUAAAUCAUAACCUCCCAGUGACCGUUUGGGCCAUAGAUGCUUGUAGUACUAUUAGAAAUCUUGCAUCUUCUCCUUCAGUAUAGAAACAAUGGAACAGCUACAGCCAGGACAACAUCCUGAGGGUGUGAUGGUGGUUUAAGAAAAAUGGAACAGCUACUCUGGAAACUAGAGAUGCCUCUUGACCUGCGGCAGGAAGACGCCCUGGCGGUGCUGUUGCCUCUCGUUCACGUGCGCGCAGCGGGUGAAAGGUUGGUUCCUGAAGCCUUCAGAAGAAGUCACCUGCUUCAACUCAGGUACAUCGGUGAUGGGCACAAAUCUCUAUGAAAGAUGGACCCAACCAUGAAUGUUUGUUUCACAAUACAAUAGCAGAAAGAGUAUGAGUGUGAUGUAAAAAAAAGAAACACUGCCCCGCACUGUGCCCGGGAAGCGGGAGCACAUGCAMUGUGCCCACCGGGGGUGUUCAGUGCUGCACUCUGGUACCAGGAGACAGUACUGCAGGUGAAUCAUGUGCUCGCACCUUAUGUUCCCAGCUGUUAACCACUGCACUGGCCUGUCUGAGAAACAGUACUGCAACCAAAGGAUUGCAGUUGGAAAAAAAAAAAACCAUUUUGAGAGCUGCUCGAGACUGGCAGACAUCAUACUAAGCUCCUAGAAAUGACAAGUUUGGACUGCACGGCAACAUUGUUCUUGCAGCUGCAUUCAAAGAAGCUAUCUGCUUCACUCCAGGUAAAGACGGUGGAAACAUAGCUGUAUAAAAUGAUGGAUUCU
Long non-coding RNA from Nothoprocta perdicaria, 1896 nucleotides. RefSeq lists it as uncharacterized. NCBI's taxonomy places the organism in Eukaryota, Metazoa, Chordata, Aves, Tinamiformes, Tinamidae. The record is from RefSeq and is a predicted model, not a curated record. The transcript has 4 exons.